GGUUUAAUAAGUCUGAAGUUAAAGGCAGUGGCUUAACCAUUGUUCGCUUUGGAAACUGUUAAACUUGAGUGCAGAAGGGGAGAGUGGAAUUCCAUGUGUAGCGGUGAAAUGCGUAGAUAUAUGGAGGAACACCGGUGGCGAAAGCGGCUCUCUGGUCUGUAACUGACGCUGAGGCUCGAAAGCGUGGGGAGCAAACAGGAUUAGAUACCCUGGUAGUCCACGCCGUAAACGAUGAGUGCUAGGUGUUAGGCCCUUUCCGGGGCUUAGUGCCGCAGCUAACGCAUUAAGCACUCCGCCUGGGGAGUACGACCGCAAGGUUGAAACUCAAAGGAAUUGACGGGGGCCCGCACAAGCGGUGGAGCAUGUGGUUUAAUUCGAAGCUACGCGAAGAACCUUACCAGGUCUUGACAUCUUGCGCCAACCCUAGAGAUAGGGCGUUUCCUUCGGGAACGCAAUGACAGGUGGUGCAUGGUCGUCGUCAGCUCGUGUCGUGAGAUGUUGGGUUAAGUCCCGCAACGAGCGCAACCCUUAUUGUUAGUUGAUACAUUUAGUUGAUCACUCUAGCGAGACUGCCGUUGACAAAACGGAGGAAGGUGGGGACGACGUCAAAUCAUCAUGCCCCUUAUGACCAGGGCUACACACGUACUACAAUGGCAGUCAUACAGAGGGAAGCAAAGCUGUGAAGCAGAGCAAAUCCCUAAAAGCUGUCCCAGUUCAGAUUGCAGGCUGCAACUCGCCUGCAUGAAGUCGGAAUUGCUAGUAAUCGCGGAUCAGCAUGCCGCGGUGAUACGUUCCCGGGCCUUGCACUCACCGCCCGU
This 818-nucleotide ribosomal RNA is filed under the name uncultured Bacillota bacterium. Its description in RNAcentral is "bacterial SSU rRNA". It matches the Rfam family "Bacterial small subunit ribosomal RNA", at positions 577 to 1397 of the family's 1533-position model. The record is from RNAcentral. Lineage: Bacteria; Bacillati; Bacillota.